AGAACGAACGCUGGCGGCAUGCCUAACACAUGCAAGUCGAACGAGACCUUCGGGUCUAGUGGCGCACGGGUGCGUAACGCGUGGGAAUCUGCCCUUGGGUACGGAAUAACAGCGAGAAAUUGCUGCUAAUACCGUAUAAUGACUUCGGUCCAAAGAUUUAUCGCCCAGGGAUGAGCCCGCGUAGGAUUAGCUUGUUGGUGAGGUAAAAGCUCACCAAGGCGACGAUCCUUAGCUGGUCUGAGAGGAUGAUCAGCCACACUGGGACUGAGACACGGCCCAGACUCCUACGGGAGGCAGCAGUGGGGAAUAUUGGACAAUGGGCGAAAGCCUGAUCCAGCAAUGCCGCGUGAGUGAUGAAGCCUUAGGUUGUAAAGCUCUUUUGCCCGGGAUGAUAAUGACAGUACCGGAGAAUAAGCUCCGGCUAACUCCGCGCCAGCAGCCGC
Molecule: ribosomal RNA, 443 nt
Filed under: uncultured soil bacterium
Lineage: Bacteria
Description: bacterial SSU rRNA
Rfam family: Bacterial small subunit ribosomal RNA
Source: RNAcentral